Molecule: ribosomal RNA, 446 nt
Filed under: uncultured bacterium
Lineage: Bacteria
Description: partial 16S ribosomal RNA
Rfam family: Bacterial small subunit ribosomal RNA
Source: RNAcentral
CCUACGGGUGGCUGCAGUCGUGAAUCAUUCACAAUGGGGGAAACCCUGAUGGUGCGACGCCGCGUGGGGGAAUGAAGGUCUUCGGACUGUAAACCCCUGUCAUGUGGGAGCAAAUUAAAAAGGUAGUACCACAAGAGGAAGACACGGCGAACUCUGUGCCAGCAGCCGCGGUAAUACAGAGGUCUCAAGCGUUGUUCGGAAUCACUGGGCGUAAAGCGUGCGUAGGCUGUUUAGGAAGUCGUGGGUGAAAGGCGCGGGCUCAACCCGCGGACGGCACAUGAAACUGGGAGACUAGAGUAAUGGAGGGGAAACCGGAAUUCUCGGUGUAGGAGUGAAAUGCGUAGAUAUCGAGAGGAACACUAGUGGCGAAGGCGGGUUCCUGGACAGUAACUGACGCUGAGGCACGAAGGCCAGGGGAGCGAAAGGGAUUAGAUACCCUAGUAGUC